CCUACGGGAGGCUGCAGUGGGGAAUAUUGGACAAUGGGGGGAACCCUGAUCCAGCCAUGCCGCGUGUGUGAAGAAGGCCAUCGGGUUGUAAAGCACUUUCAGUGAGGAAGAACGCCUGGUGGUUAAUACCCAUCAGGAAAGACAUCACUCACAGAAGAAGCACCGGCUAACUCCGUGCCAGCAGCCGCGGUAAUACGGAGGGUGCGAGCGUUAAUCGGAAUUACUGGGCGUAAAGCGCGCGUAGGUGGCUUGAUAAGCCGGUUGUGAAAGCCCCGGGCUCAACCUGGGAACGGCAUCCGGAACUGUCAAGCUAGAGUGCAGGAGAGGAAGGUAGAAUUCCCGGUGUAGCGGUGAAACGCGUAGAGAUCGGGAGGAAUACCAGUGGCGAAGGCGGCCUUCUGGACUGACACUGACACUGAGGUGCGAAAGCGUGGGUAGCAAACAGGAUUAGAUACCCCAGUAGUC
RNAcentral lists this ribosomal RNA (465 nucleotides) under Vreelandella stevensii. RNAcentral's name for it is "partial 16S ribosomal RNA". It matches the Rfam family "Bacterial small subunit ribosomal RNA", at positions 338 to 795 of the family's 1533-position model. Lineage: Bacteria; Pseudomonadati; Pseudomonadota; Gammaproteobacteria; Oceanospirillales; Halomonadaceae. The record is from RNAcentral.